Molecule: ribosomal RNA, 545 nt
Filed under: uncultured bacterium
Lineage: Bacteria
Description: bacterial SSU rRNA
Rfam family: Bacterial small subunit ribosomal RNA
Source: RNAcentral
UGGGGAAUUUUGGGCAAUGGGGGCAACCCUGACCCAGCGACGCCGCGUGGGGGACGAAGGCCUUCGGGUCGUAAACCCCUGUUAGGUGGGACGAACAUCUCCCCACAAAAAGUGGAGAGACUUGACGGUACCACCAGAGAAAGCCCCGGCUAACUCCGUGCCAGCAGCCGCGGUAAUACGGAGGGGGCGAGUGUUGUUCGGAAUUACUGGGCGUAAAGGGCGCGUAGGCGGCUUGGCAAGUCGAGUGUGAAAUCCCUUGGCUUAACUGAGGAAUUGCGCUCGAAACUACCUCGCUUGAGGGCGGGAGAGGGAAGUGGAACUCUCGGUGUAGGGGUGAAAUCUGUAGAGAUCGAGAGGAACACCGGUGGCGAAGGCGGCUUCCUGGCCCGUCCCUGACGCUGAGGCGCGAAAGCGUGGGGAGCAAACAGGAUUAGAUACCCUGGUAGUCCACGCCCUAAACGAUGGGCACUAGGUGUGGGCGGUAUUAAUCCCGCCUGUGCCGUAGCUAACGCAUUAAGUGCCCCGCCUGGGGAGUACGGUCGACG